GGAGGGGUGGCCGAGUGGCUUAAGGCGCCUGUCUUGAAAACAGGUAUGUCCGUGAGGACAUCGCAGGUUCGAAUCCUGUCCCCUCCGCCA
This 90-nucleotide transfer RNA is filed under the name Dehalococcoidia bacterium. Its description in RNAcentral is "tRNA-Ser". It matches the Rfam family "tRNA". From Rfam's summary of the family: Transfer RNA (tRNA) molecules are approximately 80 nucleotides in length. The record is from RNAcentral. Lineage: Bacteria; Bacillati; Chloroflexota; Dehalococcoidia.